CUUUCUCUUGCAUGAUUGCUCUGGCUAAGACCUCCAGUACUAUGUUGAAAAGGAGUGGUGAGAGUGAGCAUCCUUGUCUUAUUCCAGUUCUCAAGGAGAAUGACCACUCAAUAUUUUCAGUAUCUCAUUUCUUCAGAUGAAAAAACAGAGGCCCAGAAAGUGAAAAUAACUCCCUUAAAGGCACAAAGGUAGUACUGCUGAAUUCAUAUACCAGCUCCAACAACUACUAGCUGUGUGACCUUAGAUGGGGAGAAAUAUUACCUCGCCUUUUUGCCUUGGAGCUGGCCAUAAGGAAAUUCUCUGACCUACUUUGUCUGAUUAUGGAUCAUAAGACCCUCAUUUCAGAAGAGGUUCUGCCCCAUACUCUGGAGGAAGGAAUGCUGCAUGGAGAGGCCAAGAAGAAUCUGAACAGAUCUUGUUGGUUUUCUGCAUCUAUUUGUAUUAGAUCGUACUCUCCUUGUCCAAUCACAUUUCCACACAGAUGCCCAUGCUUCAGUCAUGCCUAUCCAAUGCAAAAGGACAUGGUACAGAAAGCUUCUGGGGUAACUGAACACAGGGAGGUUCCUGGAGGGUGGCACACCUGGGAAAGUGUGGAAGCCCCACCACUCCCCCUACCAUAACUUGCUCCAGGUAUCUCAUCAUCU
This 644-nucleotide long non-coding RNA is filed under the name Homo sapiens (human). Its description in RNAcentral is "HSALNT0070011". Lineage: Eukaryota; Metazoa; Chordata; Mammalia; Primates; Hominidae. The record is from RNAcentral.